UCUGCGGGGAUUAGUGGCGAACGGGUGAGUAACACGUGAGCAAUCUGCCCCGGACUCUGGGAUAAGCGCUGGAAACGGCGUCUAAUACUGGAUAUGACCCUUGCAGGCAUCUGCUGGGGGUGGAAAGAAUUUCGGUUCGGGAUGAGCUCGCGGCCUAUCAGCUUGUUGGUGAGGUAAUGGCUCACCAAGGCGACGACGGGUAGCCGGCCUGAGAGGGUGACCGGCCACACUGGGACUGAGACACGGCCCAGACUCCUACGGGAGGCAGCAGUGGGGAAUAUUGCACAAUGGGCGCAAGCCUGAUGCAGCAACGCCGCGUGGGGGAUGAAGGCCUUCGGGUUGUAAACCUCUUUUAGCAGGGAAGAAGCCUUUGGGUGACGGUACCUGCAGAAAAAGCACCGGCUAACUACGUGCCAGCAGCCGCGGUAAUACGUAGGGUGCGAGCGUUGUCCGGAAUUAUUGGGCGUAAAGAGCUCGUAGGCGGUCUGUCGCGUCUGCUGUGAAAACCCGAGGCUCAACCUCGGGCCUGCAGUGGGUACGGGCAGACUAGAGUGCGGUAGGGGAGAAUGGAACUCCUGGUGUAGCGGUGGAAUGCGCAGAUAUCAGGAAGAACACCGAUGGCGAAGGCAGUUCUCUGGGCCGUAACUGACGCUGAGGAGCGAAAGCGUGGGGAGCGAACAGGAUUAGAUACCCUGGUAGUCCACGCCGUAAACGUUGGGCGCUAGAUGUGGGGACCAUUCCACGGUUUCCGUGUCGCAGCUAACGCAUUAAGCGCCCCGCCUGGGGAGUACGGCCGCAAGGCUAAAACUCAAAGGAAUUGACGGGGGCCCGCACAAGCGGCGGAGCAUGCGGAUUAAUUCGAUGCAACGCGAAGAACCUUACCAAGGCUUGACAUAUACCGGUAACGGCUAGAAAUGGUCGCCCCGCAAGGUCGGUAUACAGGUGGUGCAUGGUUGUCGUCAGCUCGUGUCGUGAGAUGUUGGGUUAAGUCCCGCAACGAGCGCAACCCUCGUUCUAUGUUGCCAGCACGUGAUGGUGGGAACUCAUAGGAGACUGCCGGGGUCAACUCGGAGGAAGGUGGGGAUGACGUCAAAUCAUCAUGCCCCUUAUGUCUUGGGCUUCACGCAUGCUACAAUGGCCGGUACAAAGGGCUGCGAUACCGUAAGGUGGAGCGAAUCCCAAAAAGCCGGUCUCAGUUCGGA
This 1202-nucleotide ribosomal RNA is filed under the name Humibacter sp. Po15c. RNAcentral describes it as "bacterial SSU rRNA". It matches the Rfam family "Bacterial small subunit ribosomal RNA", at positions 82 to 1297 of the family's 1533-position model. Lineage: Bacteria; Bacillati; Actinomycetota; Actinomycetes; Micrococcales; Microbacteriaceae. The record is from RNAcentral.